GGGGAUGACAGGCUUCGACGGAGGAGGCUGAUCCCAAACUGCGAGCCGAGAGGCGCCGACCUCGAAAAAUCAGCGCAAACCUUUAAGUGCCAACCGCACUGACUAUGCUGCUCUUCCUCUUGCUGCCUAAGCAGUAAGCGCAUGAGCGCAAACUGACCCAACGGGUCACGUCCUUCUUUCACCGCCCUCUAGCCGGGGAUAGAAUGGACGACAAAAAGCUAGAGUGCGGCACAUGACGUCGCUAAGUGUGCCUAAGCGGGGCUUUCGGGCCCCAGCGGCUGGUUGAGUGGGAUCUUUCGUCGUUUGUAGGCCGCUCAAUGAGGAGAAACAAGCGACUACGCUCGUAGGCGUUCGCGGUUCUAAUCUUUCGGACGCGGGUUCGAUUCCCGCCAUCUCCACCU
This 401-nucleotide transfer-messenger RNA is filed under the name Chloroflexota bacterium. RNAcentral describes it as "Chloroflexi bacterium (marine metagenome) transfer-messenger RNA". It matches the Rfam family "transfer-messenger RNA". From Rfam's summary of the family: Bacterial tmRNA, also known as 10Sa RNA or SsrA, is named for its dual tRNA and mRNA-like properties. The record is from RNAcentral. Lineage: Bacteria; Bacillati; Chloroflexota.